Molecule: ribosomal RNA, 254 nt
Filed under: uncultured prokaryote
Description: partial 16S ribosomal RNA
Rfam family: Bacterial small subunit ribosomal RNA
Source: RNAcentral
UACGGAGGAUGCAAGCGUUAUCCGGAUUUAUUGGGUUUAAAGGGUGCGCAGGUUGUUUGAUAAGUCAGUGGUGAAAGUCUGUCGCUUAACGGUAGGAUUGCCAUUGAUACUGUUGGACUUGAAUAUGGAUGAGGUAGGCGGAAUGUGUAGUGUAGCGGUGAAAUGCAUAGAUAUUACACAGAACACCGAUUGCGGAGGCAGCUUACUAAUCCAUCAUUGACGCUGAGGCACGAAAGCGUGGGGAUCAAACAGGA